CUGAAUAGCAUGGCAGUAGACUGCUACUAAUUUUCCCUUUGCAACCUGAACAGUAAAAGGUGAAGUCCGUCAGAAAGCAAUGACUGCUUCCCGAGAAGUGACUGGAGAUGAGAACCCGCUAUGCAAGCACUAAACUGAGACUGUGGUGAAGUAUC
Gymnodraco acuticeps is the source of this 155-nucleotide long non-coding RNA. RefSeq lists it as uncharacterized. Lineage: Eukaryota; Metazoa; Chordata; Actinopteri; Perciformes; Bathydraconidae. The record is from RefSeq and is a predicted model, not a curated record. The transcript has 2 exons.